UCUCCUCCCCUCCCAUGCAACUUCUCCUGGACACCUGAAGUCUCUCUCCUCUCCUCAGCCUCCUGAGCCUAGGCAAGGUAGGCAAAUUUUGCCCCCUUCCUGCGAUUUCCUCCCACCAGGACGUCCCAGGCGGGAAGACUUCUGCAGCUCUGUGCUGCGGCUGCUGACUUUGCCCUUGGCCUAAGGUGGCUGGCUGGCUGUGAUCUUCCCUGGGCUCCCUGGAGGCUGGCCCAGCAGGCACCAAGGAAAGCAAUCUUUCUUUUGGCCUGCAGUUGAGACCCGCACAUCCUGGUGAGCUGUUUGCCAGGACAGAAUCAGCCUCUGCUUUUGAAUAAAGGGCCACCCUUUUCCUCCCUGCACCGAGGCCUGAUUGGGCCAGGAGCUCAGCCAUCCUUAGCCCCGGCUUAGUAACAACAAAAAGUAUCCCUGGAAAAGCUACCUUACAACAAGAGUGACAGUCCAGUGUGGAUUUCAGAAGAAACAGAAACUUGAGUGGUAUGUUCAUGGCUGUCUAUAUCCUGGGCCCAGCCCCCUGAUGAGGCAGUGGACGGACAGAGAGGUCAACAGAUGCUUGCUAGUGUGCGGGCGGGAUCUGAACGGAGAGCUCCUCACUCAGCACGCUGCCUUGGACGCCAGCCGUGCAGGCCAGUGUCGAAGGAGCAACGUGGGCAAGGUGAGCCCUCACCUCCUCUGCCUCCACGUGCAUCGAGAAUCUCACUGAUGUGUCAGCUUGUUCAUCGGACACCCACAAUGUGCCAUGUGCCUGGCACCAGGGGACAGAGAAGCACAGAGCACAGGUCCCCUGGCUGGAGCUCAAGCCUGUCCAUGCCCAACCUUCCCACUGUCCUGGUGUGAGACUUGGGGAGGCAUUUAGUCUGAGCAGAGAGGGAAGGAUGGAAACAUAGCAGAAGGGAGAACAAAGCCGGCAUCACAGGAAGGAGGCCCAAGGCCCAGCACGGACCAGGUGAGAGGUGCCAGGGCCAAGGGGCAUGGCCGUGGCCCGGGGAGAGCUGACCCUACACGGCCUGCACUGCUGAGGCCGAGACCAGCUUUGUGGGGUAGAGCCCAGAAACUGGGAGAGGCCUGGUUGGGGGCGUUUAUUCAGGUCUGGUGGGCACAGGAAGGGAGAGAGGGUAGACAGGGGCAGACAGCCUUGGAGACAAUGGUCCAAACUUAGGUAGUGCUUCUCAGAUACCAGCAGAGGGGGAAAAAAGGCAAGAACAAGACUGGGGCUGGUGUUGGGCAGAAGCAACUGAGCAGAGCCAAGGGCAGCAAGGCCUGGCAGUGUCCAUGCCCAGCGCUAAAGGUCUACAGCCACCCAUCUGGGUCAGAAGGGGACCUAAGGUUCUGAGCGGGCGGCUGAGCCCACGAGAGCCUCUGAGCCCCAGGAGCAGGUAUCAUAAUGGGCAAGUCCUCUGCACAGUCCCAGCACGUCCUCCCUGUUCCAGUGCUCCCCCUAAGUGGAGAUAAGCACCUGGGAAGGGGGGGCCUUCCUGUCCUCACUUUGCAGAUGAGUGACCCACAGCACAGAGAGGUUGAGGGAAUUGCCAAGAUCACACAGCUAGAAAAUAACAGAACAUCCAAGGCUCAGCCGAAGCCUGGAGUUGCCUGCAGAGAAAGAGUUGUCCAAGUUUGGGGGAUAACUGUCCACAAGGAAGAAGGUGUCAGCCAUGAUUCUCCUCUGUACCCCUGAGGAGUGCUGGACUUCUUUGAGCUCUUACAAGUGUUCAUGCCAGCCAAUGACCUGGCUGCUGAUCAGGAUGCCCCCCGGGCUGGCCUCCCAUCUGCAGAAGCAGUAGGUGUUAUCCUGAACGGCGUUGUGUGGAUCAAGGGAGGAUGUGGGGCUCUGUAUCCAUGUCCGGCUUCCUGCCCCCUCCAAUUCUCACUGACCUGGCAAGUGCUCACAGGAAUCAGCACUCACCAUGGAUCAGUCACCUGGGAGCUGAGCUGGGGCAGUCUCUCUUGCCUCCUUUCUCACCCCAACUUGUAGGGAAAGUCUGCAACUUGCUGUGUAUCUGGGUACCUGCCUCUUGCUGAAGCACCGGGUCCUCUGCUCCCAGCCUGUGGCCCUGCCUGCCCUCAGCAGUGCAGGGUCAACUGGGGCAGACUUCGUGCCUGGUACCGUGUCUACAGCCCCCUGGCCUCGAUCUUGCAGGAGCUGAUGUGAAAUGGGUCACACCUGACUAGGCCAAGUUUCUGAAUCGCAUCGCACUUUCCUGAGUCUCUGAGUCUUUGUUGCACCUAAAAAUACAGGUGACCACUCCCUGGGCACUCACCAGACAUCAUAGACUGUGCCCUGAUCUUUACUCCACAUCCUUGUUCAGUCCUUAUAAGACUUCUAGAGAGAGGGUAAUCUUGUUUCCUGAAUUUUCUAGAUGUGUAAACAGAAGCCCGGAGGCGAUGUGACUUGCCCACAACACAUCCAGUGAAGGGCCAAGAUGGGAUUUGAGUUUUCCUUCCGGCCCCAAGCCGGCCCUAGGUUCUGCUUACUGCCAGUUGAAUUUCGGGUAUAGGGAACCUCUUCUCCCCCAAGAGCGUGUUGCUAUCCCAUGUUUGUAUCAACUACGUUUCACGCGUUUUCAAGUAAUACAAAGGUGAGAGGGGGGACUCGUGAGCUAGAUGGGCCAAAAUCAAGAUGGAAAAGAUUUGAGGCGGAAAGACAGAGCCAAUACAAACAAGACAGCAUUAGCGGGGUGCCUGGCAAGUCCUGCGUCUCUGCUCAGCGUUCCCAUCACAGGGG
This is a long non-coding RNA of Nycticebus coucang (slow loris), 2740 nucleotides long. RefSeq lists it as uncharacterized. The transcript is spliced from 3 exons. The record is from RefSeq and is a predicted model, not a curated record. Lineage: Eukaryota; Metazoa; Chordata; Mammalia; Primates; Lorisidae.